GAGUUUGAUCCUGGUUCAGAUUGAACGCUGGCGGCAUGCCUUACACAUGCAAGUCGAACGGUAACAGGUCUUUCGGGAUGCUGACGAGUGGCGAACGGGUGAGUAAUACAUCGGAACGUGCCUAGUAGUGGGGGAUAACUACUCGAAAGAGUGGCUAAUACCGCAUGAGAUCUAUGGAUGAAAGCAGGGGACCUUCGGGCCUUGUGCUACUAGAGCGGCCGAUGGCAGAUUAGGUAGUUGGUGGGAUAAAAGCUUACCAAGCCUACGAUCUGUAGCUGGUCUGAGAGGACGAUCAGCCACACUGGGACUGAGACACGGCCCAGACUCCUACGGGAGGCAGCAGUGGGGAAUUCUGGACAAUGGGGGAAACCCUGAUCCAGCAAUGCCGCGUGCAGGAUGAAGGCCGUCGGGUUGUAAACUGCUUUUGUACGGAACGAAAAGUCUUGGGUUAAUACCCUGGGAUCAUGACGGUACCGUAAGAAUAAGCACCGGCUAACUACGUGCCAGCAGCCGCGGUAAUAC
RNAcentral lists this ribosomal RNA (522 nucleotides) under uncultured Comamonas sp. RNAcentral's name for it is "bacterial SSU rRNA". It matches the Rfam family "Bacterial small subunit ribosomal RNA", at positions 9 to 526 of the family's 1533-position model. Lineage: Bacteria; Pseudomonadati; Pseudomonadota; Betaproteobacteria; Burkholderiales; Comamonadaceae. The record is from RNAcentral.